This is a small RNA of 188 nucleotides. It matches the Rfam family "Proteobacterial sRNA psRNA2".
GGGUGACUCCUUGGCGCUUGCGCGCUGUUUUGAUGAAGAUUCGCACCUCUAUCAAAACGGGUAACCCCACCUCUUGGCAAGGUCUUACUGUCAGAUCAAGUCUGAACUUCUACACCUAAGAUAUCCCUGCAUCGUUUUGCGUCCAGUCGCAUUGUAGUUCUGCUCCCACCAUCCCGAGUCGUACGUCU